Molecule: non-coding RNA, 279 nt
Organism: Vicia faba (fava bean)
Lineage: Eukaryota; Viridiplantae; Streptophyta; Magnoliopsida; Fabales; Fabaceae
Source: the annotation of a GenBank genome assembly
AUGUCUAGCAGGAGGUCACGGUCUAGGCAAACAACUAGUUCAAGGAAUAUCACCGACGAUCAGAUCCAUGAUCUUGUCUCCAAGUUGCAGCAGCUUCUUCCUGAGAUUCGCAAUAGGACCUCGGACAAGGCUUCAGCUUCGAGGGUGUUACAGGAGACAUGCAACUAUAUUAGAAAUUUGCACAGAGAAGUGGACGACCUUAGCGAACGUUUAUCUGAGCUACUGGCUACAACAGACACAGCACAAGCAGCCAUCAUUAGAAAUUUACUUAUGCAAUAG